GGCAGUGUUGCUUAAUGGGAAGAGUAUAGAUUGGGAAUCAGAAAACCUGGGUUCUAGUCCCACCUCUGCCC
This 71-nucleotide transfer RNA is filed under the name Ornithorhynchus anatinus (platypus). It matches the Rfam family "tRNA". From Rfam's summary of the family: Transfer RNA (tRNA) molecules are approximately 80 nucleotides in length. Their secondary structure includes four short double-helical elements and three loops (D, anti-codon, and T loops). Lineage: Eukaryota; Metazoa; Chordata; Mammalia; Monotremata; Ornithorhynchidae. The record is from Rfam by way of RNAcentral.